CUGCGUCAAGAGUAUAAGAGCUCAGCUCAGAGAGGACAUUUGCUGAGAAACCAGAGUUGGGCUACAAGACAUUGUAGGCUACCAAGAGUUGAAAUGGGUCUUCCAGCCUUGGGUUUGAUACCGUUUUUGGGGCCCCUUGCGUUUCCAGUAGCAUUGGGAACAGUCGCAGUAGGGGGCUUUAUAUGGAUUAAGGCGAUUCAUAAGAAACCUUCAUAUCAUCCAGGAAGUCCCAUAAUUACACAUUCCGUGAAGGUAAAGUCAAAUAAAGAUUCUGGAAAUGAACCCACUGGAAAUGCUGCCAGCAAGAAUACAGAAGGACAGCAGAGCAACAAUGAAACUACCAUCAUAAUUGCUUACGGCCUUGGAGUGGUUGACACUUAUAAAAAUGUUAAAAAAGGUAGACCAUCUCAGUUUGGUCCGGGUAACUUUCGCAUGGCAGAGGCAGACCAUAUUCCACCAUUGGCUUCUCUGAGGAUAGCCCGAAACCAUGAACGACUGGAUCGUCUCCGACAAGUGAAUCCAAGGCUUCAUGAGAUGAUCAUGAGCCUUGAUUAUGACCCAACUGGACAGAACCUGUUAACCAUGAGGGUUCUUUACCAGGAUCACAGAGAUGCGCUGACUACUGGAAACAGCAGGGAAUCUCAAGUAUCCAGUCAUCUGCUGGCAGAGACAAUCGUAGACGGAGAUGCUGCACUUAUGCUGAGGAAGGCUUUUAUCAUGGGUCAUCCUAUAUCUUCCUGGCAGCUCAGAGAAGACGCAGGAUUGGCCGCACCAUAUACCGAGGGUAACAUUGACAUGUCUGAUGAAGGAACAAGGCACUACUACAGAUAUGGCUACAUUGAGCUGGUCGAAGCAUACCACAGGAAGGGGAUAAUCAACCAGAAUCAAGCAAAAGAGCUCAUUUCAUGGGUGGAAAGAGAGAUGCACCUGGACCGGGAUACCCAAGAGUAUAAGGAGAUCCUUGAUUACAUUAAACGUCAUGUUUGUGUUUUCCGGUGGUAGAAAUGGCAAACAAACUCAGACAACACAGUAAAUACAGAUUGUGUAAUCUAACAUGCUGACCAGACCGGACGCGUCGCAAAAUACAUUUAGAAAUACAUUUAUGUACGAUAGCGCACCUGCAUAGAUGUUUGGGUCCGUGUAACGGGAGUUCCCAAGUUAAAAACGUUUCUAUGAUAUGCAAAUUAUGGAAUUCAGUAUAGUUGGAUUCUAGUUUGAAAUAUACUAAUUCACGUUGCCAUUCUAGAACUCAUUGAUUAAUUUGCAUGUAUAAGGAAUGCAUAUGCUGGGGUCAAGGAAGGGUAGAUAGGGACUUGUGGAAAGUUACAGUGUAGAAAGUUCAUAUUCUGCUCCAUGUUUCUAAGGAGGGAGUCGAAGGGCAAUAGUUAGUCUCUGAUAAGGCAGGCCAGCUGAGGAACUAGGGAGGGGCGAGGAAUGCAUCUCGAGGUCAAGUCAACAAAUGAAGUGAUAAGAAACCUCUGGGAGGCAGGCCAGAGAGACCCACCACAACGACUCUCCUACUUAUGAGGAUUCUGUGUUAUGCACUAUAGCCUGUUACCAUAUAUGUGAUUGAAUAUUAUCUGCUGUUGGCUUGUGUGCAUGUAUGUAGGUGUUAUGCAACAUAGCUGACUUGAAACAUUGUUAACAGUUUCAGGGCCAUGGGACUUUCUCAUGAUGGAAAAAUACAGAAUAACAUAAAAACGGACACAUACAGAACGUAGUGUAGCAAACCACAGACUGUUUUUGUUAGAACUCAAACUUAACAAUAACAGAAACCAGAUAUGUGAUAAUGGUAUCUAGGGAAUGAGCACAUAGAUACUCGACACAGCAAGUUACAUCUAUCAACUGGAGCGCCCGGGGGCUGGUACCAGCUCGUACGACAACAAUCAACGAUAGGCUGGGUGAGUUUAAACCACGCCCAGUCUCUACUCUGACAGGCCGGCUCGGAAGCUGGAACUACUACUGUCAUCAGGGUAUAUUAUAAUAUCUUUGUCAGGAACAAGUCAGUUCUCUGUUUGCCCUGCGAGGUGGGACAGAGAGCUCGUAUAUACGAAAAUUGCAUUUACCAUUUAUUGCUUAGCUACUAAAAAAUACAUAGUAUACAAUCGGUGACUCAUUGUCAUAUUUAUCCUGAUACCAGAUUUGAAUUGACACAACUCUAACAUACUGCCGUCCUAUUUCACACAUAUACUUCCAUGCAUGAAGGUUUUAGUAUCAGGCAGUGCUAUAACUACACCAGUGAGAGGAACCAAUUAUGUUUCUGCCUAGCAACAGCGAUGUAUUGGCUGUCUAGAUGUGUAAGGACAUGAUCCCACAUAUUAGAAGGUAAUAAAUAUAUCUGCUUGUGUAAUCAUGCCUUGUCUUUGCAGCUGUAUGACCCAGUGGGUGAAUAAACUUGGUUUGAGCUUUG
Molecule: long non-coding RNA, 2410 nt
Organism: Oncorhynchus nerka (sockeye salmon)
Lineage: Eukaryota; Metazoa; Chordata; Actinopteri; Salmoniformes; Salmonidae
Exons: 4
Source: RefSeq, a predicted model, not a curated record